Molecule: ribosomal RNA, 623 nt
Filed under: Digenea sp. morphotype 5 MDP-2022
Lineage: Eukaryota; Metazoa; Platyhelminthes; Trematoda
Description: partial large subunit ribosomal RNA
Rfam family: Eukaryotic large subunit ribosomal RNA
Source: RNAcentral
GGGAUGGCAGGUAGCUCGUGGGGCCUGCUCAUGGUUCGCUGUGAGCGUGGUUUUCGAGUGUAAUCAGCUGACCACAUUGGUUCUGUGCAGUAUGUUGGAGACGGCGGCUAGUGCGCGUGCGUUCAUAGUUGGUCGGCGUGUCCGAGUUUGGUUGUUACGUUGCCUGUGUGUGCAGGCCUGAUGAUGACUCGGAUACGUUCGGCUGACUUGCGCACGAGUACAAUAUGGGGCCCAUAGUCUGUGGUGUAGUGGUAACUAUCCACCUGACCCGUCUUGAAACACGGACCAAGGAGAGUAACAUGUGCGCGAGUCAUUGGGUAUUACGAAGCCCAAAGGCGCAGCGAAAGUAAAGGUCUGGCUUGCCAGGCUGAGGUGAGAUCUCGUCGUUUCCUCUGCGGUACUACCAGGCAUCGAGCGAUGAGCGCAUCACCGGCCCGUCCCAUGACAAUUGUUUUUCGGCAGUACUCAGUCGGGGCGGAGCAUGAGCGUACAUGUUGAGACCCGAAAGAUGGUGAACUAUGCUUGCGCAGGUUGAAGCCAGAGGAAACUCUGGUGGAGGACCGAAGCGGUUCUGACGUGCAAAUCGAUCGCCAGACGUGAGUAUGGGGGCGAAAGACUAAUCG